GCCCGGUUAGCUCAAUCGGUAGAGCGUGAGACUCUUACUAGAGUACACAAUCUCAAGGUUGCGGGUUCGACCCCCGCAUCGGGCU
This is a transfer RNA of 85 nucleotides. It matches the Rfam family "tRNA". Rfam says of the family: Transfer RNA (tRNA) molecules are approximately 80 nucleotides in length. Their secondary structure includes four short double-helical elements and three loops (D, anti-codon, and T loops). Further hydrogen bonds mediate the characteristic L-shaped molecular structure. tRNAs have two regions of fundamental functional importance: the anti-codon, which is responsible for specific mRNA codon recognition, and the 3' end, to which the tRNAs corresponding amino acid is attached (by aminoacyl-tRNA synthetases). tRNAs cope with the degeneracy of the genetic code in two manners: having more than one tRNA (with a specific anti-codon) for a particular amino acid; and 'wobble' base-pairing, i.e. permitting non-standard base-pairing at the 3rd anti-codon position. The record is from Rfam.